Molecule: ribosomal RNA, 472 nt
Filed under: uncultured bacterium
Lineage: Bacteria
Description: partial 16S ribosomal RNA
Rfam family: Bacterial small subunit ribosomal RNA
Source: RNAcentral
AGUGAACGCUGGCGGUAGGCCUAACACAUGCAAGUCGAACGGCAGCACAGUAAGAGCUUGCUCUUACGGGUGGCGAGUGGCGGACGGGUGAGGAAUACAUCGGAAUCUACUUUUUCGUGGGGGAUAACGUAGGGAAACUUACGCUAAUACCGCAUACGACCUACGGGUGAAAGCAGGGGAUCUUCGGACCUUGCGCGAUUGAAUGAGCCGAUGUCGGAUUAGCUAGUUGGCGGGGUAAUGGCCCACCAAGGCGACGAUGCGUAGCUGGUAUGAGAGGAUGACCGGCAAAAGUGGGACUGAGAGACGGCCCAGACCCCUACGGGAGGCAGUAGUGGGGAAUAUUGCACGAUGGGCGGAAGCCUGAUGCAGCAACGCCGUGUGCGGGAUGACGGCCUUCGGGUUGUAAACCGAUUUCGCCUGUGACGAAGCGUGAGUGACGGUAAUGGGUAAAGAAGCACCGGCUAACUACGUA